UACGUAGGGACCAAGCGUUGUUCGGAUUUACUGGGCGUAAAGGGCGCGUAGGCGGCAUAUUAAGUCAUCUGUGAAAUCUCCGAGCUUAACUCGGAACUGUCAGGUGAUACUGAUGUGCUAGAGUGCGGAAGGGGCAAUCGGAAUUCUUGGUGUAGCGGUGAAAUGCGUAGAUAUCAAGAGGAACACCUGAGGUGAAGACGGGUUGCUGGGCCGACACUGACGCGGACAGCGCGAAAGCCAGGGGAGCAAACGGG
This 254-nucleotide ribosomal RNA is filed under the name uncultured bacterium. Its description in RNAcentral is "partial 16S ribosomal RNA". It matches the Rfam family "Bacterial small subunit ribosomal RNA", at positions 524 to 776 of the family's 1533-position model. The record is from RNAcentral.